GCGCGCGCAGGCGGUCAUUUAAGUCUGGUGUUUAAUCCCGGGGCUCAACCCCGGAUCGCACUGGAAACUGGGUGACUUGAGUGCAGAAGAGGAGAGUGGAAUUCCACGUGUAGCGGUGAAAUGCGUAGAUAUGUGGAGGAACACCAGUGGCGAAGGCGACUCUCUGGGCUGUAACUGACGCUGAGGCGCGAAAGCGUGGGGAGCAAACAGGAUUAGAAACCCUVGUAGUCCC
This 232-nucleotide ribosomal RNA is filed under the name Paenibacillus seodonensis. RNAcentral describes it as "partial 16S ribosomal RNA". The record is from RNAcentral. Lineage: Bacteria; Bacillati; Bacillota; Bacilli; Caryophanales; Paenibacillaceae.